Gallus gallus (chicken) is the source of this 3203-nucleotide long non-coding RNA. RefSeq lists it as uncharacterized. The record is from RefSeq and is a predicted model, not a curated record. NCBI's taxonomy places the organism in Eukaryota, Metazoa, Chordata, Aves, Galliformes, Phasianidae. The transcript has 5 exons.
GCGCCCGGGGCUGUGGGCGCUGCGCGGGUCGGGGCUCGCGCCGCGGCUGCCGUUGGCGGGAACGGGGCGGGGGCGGCGAGGCGAGGCGAGGCGGUAGCCGGGGCUGAAGCACGGGGCUGGAAGCUGCCCGGGGCGUUCGAAGAGCGAACGGCUCACUCCUCUCUGCGCUGCGUGUAGUCGCUCACCUCACGUCAGUUUGUGUCCCACUGUGACAGGAGUAAAUGCUUUUCUGAAAAGAUUCUUAGCGGUGACAGAGAUGGUAAAACAAAGACUGCAGUGAAACCCGUUUUCUCCCAGGAAAAGAUGAUCGGAAGAAGGAGGAUUCUGUGAAACUGAAGGCAUUUGUCAAGGACUGCGACUUGCUGCAAGACAAAAAUGCAACAUGUUUGGUAAAUGGAAGAAGACUGAAAAGGUUCAACAGAGUCAAGAGACUGCUGGAGGACUUUUUCUGCCACAGGCAACUGGGAGUGCUAAUGAUCGGAGAAACUUCAUAAAUGUCACUCACUCCUACCCAAUCUCUAGCAAAUGAUAUUCUAGCAAUCUCUAGAAAAAGGGCUCUGCUGACAGCAUGCAGGGCUAGUUGGACUGGAGAAGCUGAUUCCCAUCUCUUCAGAAAGGUAUUCUGCUGUAAGUUGGCACAUUCAGCUUUUUUCAUUAGUUACUCAGCUCGUGUUGUUGAAGGGAAGAUACUGAAAUUUUGUCAUAAGACUUGAUUAUGCAAAACAUUUACAAAGUGGAAGAAUGUUGUUCUUUGUAGGGCUGUCACAGUGAUCAGACUGAAGGGAAUAGAGCUGGUGGUUCUGCAUUCUAUGGGAUGAAAGGGUAUAGUAGAACCAACAAAACUCCUCAGCCCAUUAACUUACACUGCACACUAUCUCCUUUAUAGUGCUAUAGAAAUUCUUACUGAUGCUGACCAAACCUUUGUUCCGAUAGUAUUAGCUUGAAGCCCAAAAAUGUUUACAUUAUUCUUCUGUUUGUUGAUUUAUGAGAGACACUAACAUUGCAUACAGGCAAUCAAAAUGCUGACAACAUUUGUUUUGGGAUUUUCAAAUCUAGGAUGUCUCCUCUAAGCUUUCUCACAGUGAAGAGAAUUUAAGAUAAACCUAAAGUAAACAAAGAGCUGAGAUCUAGAGCAAAUGUUUCCUAAAAAUGAAUGAAUGCAUGAAGAAGAAAGGCUUGAGUGAAGAAGCAUGACAAGUGUGAGAAAGGAAACCUCACUUUCUUUAAGAUCCACUUACAUUAAAACUAUAUUUGGAAUUACCGUGAAAGAAGUUGCCUAAAAUAAGAUCCUUCCAAAGGAUUAGAUAGGAUGAAGAUCCAGAGGAUUGGGCUCUGACUCUGAGUUUCUAUUUCCAAAUACUUCUACGACUGCUUACACAUAACUGUAUUUGGGAGUUAUUUCCACGUUUACCAGAAUGCAUAGAAAAGUUGUCUUUUUUUGGCCAAGGAUAAAAGAAGCAGCUUUGAGGUGUUGCUCAAAACUCCACAUAUACACCAGUAAUUCAUUUAACCUAUCUCAGCUCAGCUUUGACAGUUAUAAAAUAACAUAAAGUCUAUUCCAUUGCAAUUUUGAAGGGCCUAAUACCAGCUGUAAAAUACCUUUUGGCUGCUCAGAUGAAACAAAGUUUCAUAAGAAAAGUUUCUUAGACAGCAUUGCUUUAAACUUUGCAUUAACGUAGCAAGAGAAAAGAACAUAAAGUUUUGAGUAUGUUUCAAUAUAUUGGAAUGGAAAAUUACUGUGCACAUUCUAAACUAAAAUAAAUGAUAGGUUAGUGCUGGACUUUUACCUAUGACAGAUAUAUGAUUUGACAGAAAAGUAUUAAGUUAGGAGUUAUCACUGUUAGACUGGUAGUUUGUGACAGCUGCCAGAAGGAUAAAUCGGUCUAAUUUGGUUGGUUCCUUCAGAUUUUCACCCCGUGUGUCUUGAAACAUGAGUGUGAGAUUAGAACAUCUCUAAACAGAGAUAAUACAUGUCAAGGUUCCAACAGCAACAUCUUAAUGGAGUUUAGACAACCCCUCUGUGUCCUUGACAAAAAUGGGCUAGUUUUGGUUAAUGCCAUGGAACUCAGUAGCACAACUCGAGCAGUUUAAGCACUCACAAUGUGUGACGCUUUCAGACUCACUGGCAAUGAUCCAAGCUGUUUAAUUAGUGAAUAUGCCCUGCUGGGCUUGACAGAAUGGUUGGUAGAUAUGCAACAACUUGGCCUGAACUGGCUUGUGGUCAUGCCAUUCAGCAAUGCUUAGCUGACUUGGAUUUAACAUUGAAGGGCUUACUAUUUGGAAAUCAUCUAGCAGAUCAUUCCUUAGAUCCAGAGGAGCCUCUGUUGAACACCUCAGGUGUAUUCUAAAUAAAAUCUUAAAUUUAUUGACGAUAGUAAGAUAGUAUUUGCAAGUAUAGCCGCCAUGCUCACCUACUGAGGCAGAUUCAAAUACAUAUGACAUAAAAAAAAAACCCAGCCAUUUGUCCUUGAGAACCAUUUGUCACUGUGACAGGUUUUGAUGCUGUUUAAGAACCCUUCUGUUAGCUGCUAUACUGUUGCUGCUGCUGUACUUCUAUUCUCCUUCCUAGUAAAAUAAUGAAUGAAAGUUAUCAGAAAUCACAAAUGUUUUAUAUAAGCAUAUCGUAAGAAUUAAAAAUAUUUUGUGUAACACUAACAGAGCUUUUAAAACUUGUGAAUGAUUAAUAGGAAUGUCAUGAUGGCACUCCUCUCCCCUUAGAGUGCUUGACAAAGUUUAAACACAGGCAGCAUCCUGGUUUAUAAACAGUCUAUUUACACUCUCUACUCAUCUUAAAAUAUCAUUUAAACACUUUGCGAGGUCUUUUUUCAGUAUCUAGUUUAGCUAUUUAAAAUACUGGAGUUUCCCACUAUGAAGAUUUCAUAGAAGAAAGACGUUUGCAAUCUAUACAGAUUAAAACGUUGCUUUUGUAGACGUCAGUAAAAACAUAGGUCACUUUGAAUUAUGAUUAUGUAAUUCAUACUACUUUCAUCUUUGAUUUAUGUGCAUUUCAGUACCCAAUUCUAUAGGAUGAAUUUCUCUUAUCACCCAUAAAACAUAUGCUGAAAUGCAUUUGACACAACUUUAUGUUAAACUGUGAGAGACUAAUUGUAUAUAUUAGCAGUAAUAUAGAAACUACAGCAGGAUGAUUAAGUCAACAAAAUUCUGUGAUAAAAUAAAACACCUUUCAGUGAUGUGACCCUUCA